RNAcentral lists this ribosomal RNA (584 nucleotides) under Lytocarpia phyteuma. RNAcentral describes it as "partial large subunit ribosomal RNA". It matches the Rfam family "Bacterial large subunit ribosomal RNA", at positions 1807 to 2577 of the family's 2925-position model. The record is from RNAcentral. Lineage: Eukaryota; Metazoa; Cnidaria; Hydrozoa; Leptothecata; Aglaopheniidae.
CCAAAAACAUAGCCCUUAAAAAAAUUAAAGGUGAAACCUGCCCAAUGAUUUAAUAAUUUACACUUAAAAGAUAAAUAAAAAAUUAAAUGGCUGCAGUAACCAUGACUGUAAAAAUGUAGCAUAAUAAUUCGCCACUUAAUUAGUGGAUAGUAUGAAUGGUUAAACGAAAAUUCCACUGUCUUAUAAAAUACAAUAAAAAAUUUAAAUCAUAGUUAAGAUGCUAUGUAAAACUGUAAGACGAAAAGACCCUAUAAAGCUUAACUAUAAAUCUUAACAUUUUAAUAUUAAAACUAAUAAAAAUCAUUAAGAUUUGGUAGUUUCAUUGGGGCGAUGAUCUCUAAAAAUAAACAGAGAUAAACUAAUUUAAUAAUAAAAUUUACUGUAUAAUUAAUAAAUUUAACAGUUACAAAGUAGAGUAUAAUGACCCAUUAUUCUAAUUAAAAAAAAAAUAAUGAACAAUAAAUAAAAGCUACUUUAGGGAUAACAGGAUAAUAAUUUCUUAGAGACCCAAUCGAAGAAAAAGUUUAUCACCUCGAUGUUGAAUUAAGAUAACCUAAUGACGCAGCAGUAAUUAAAGGUAGGUC